Molecule: transfer RNA, 66 nt
Filed under: Ultragryllacris sp. 1 JL-2022a
Lineage: Eukaryota; Metazoa; Arthropoda; Insecta; Orthoptera; Gryllacrididae
Description: tRNA-Trp
Source: RNAcentral
AAGGUUUUAAGUUAAAAAAACUAAUAGCCUUCAAAGCUGAAAAUAAAAAUACAUUUUUAAACCUUA